Non-coding RNA from Paramisgurnus dabryanus, 650 nucleotides. The record is from RefSeq and is a predicted model, not a curated record. NCBI's taxonomy places the organism in Eukaryota, Metazoa, Chordata, Actinopteri, Cypriniformes, Cobitidae.
CGGACGGUGGUUUCAAUGGGACGCCGGGGACCAAGACCCUCUCGGCGAGCUCGUUGGCUUACAGAGGGGCGAGAACGUCACGCCGGCACACCGGGUCGAGCGCUGCCCUUUCCUCGAGACCCGUUGGUCAAUCGAAAACUGGACCGGGGUGCCCUUUUCGUCGAGACCUCGGGGCGGCGGAUCUCUUUCGCCUCUAACUCUGUGACGAUGGAAAAGACACAGGGCCGCUUUCCUCUUCGUCGUCCCGGGACGAGUGACUGGAGGCGGGGUUACGUCUGACAAGACACAGCAAUCUCACUGCAAUACACAGCAUUACACAGCACCACUUCAAGUGAAAAUUUCUACAUCCAAAGACUCACCCACCACGCUCAGUGCACACGAUAGACACCCGUCUUCCUUCACUUCGCUCUGGGCAAGGAUAUGGAGAUGGUAACACGGCCUAGUGUUUGUUUUUCGUCACUGUAGCUGCUUCAACACAAGGACCCUUCGGCUCACCCACCACGCUGGUUCAGGGGUUGACUUCACACUGCAAUAACUCCAGAUGCAUAGACAGGGCGUUUUCCAGCCACCAACACCACUUUUCCACAGGUGUAUACUCACAAUGGUAAGUUUCCUCUUCCUUCGUUUCUCUCAUCCAGCAUCAGUAUCCG